UUUUUCAUUGCACACGGCUUUCCCUAUGUAUACAUCUAAACCUGAGUUACUUAUCCAGAAGAAUACUCUCCAAAAGUUAAAUACUCAGUGUUGAUGAAUCUCAAAUCCCCCUCUUACUACAUUACAUAAACAUUUCAGAAUCUUAUAGAGAAUACUAUUCGAAAUAAAAAAGAAAUGCAUUUUUUAUCCAAAUUUUAGGUAAGGAUGAUUUUGAUUUAUCAAUUUACAUUGAUUGGAUCGUUACUGAAAA
Molecule: long non-coding RNA, 250 nt
Filed under: Arachis ipaensis
Lineage: Eukaryota; Viridiplantae; Streptophyta; Magnoliopsida; Fabales; Fabaceae
Description: long non-coding RNA (AIPA_LNC000163)
Source: RNAcentral